CAAUAGCGUAUAUUAAAGUUGUUGCGGUUAAAAAGCUCGUAGUUGGAGUUCUGCCAGGUGCCGCCUGUCCGCCCCAGUGGUGAGUACGUGGCGCGCAUUUGGCCCUUUCAAGGGGAGCGUAUCUGCACUUUAUUGUGUGGUGCGGGAUCCUUGACUUUUACUUUGAGGAAAUAGGAGUGUUCCAAGCAGGCUCUCGUCGUGCACAGCUCAGCAUGGAAUAAUAGCAUUGGACCUCGAUUCUAAGCUGUUGGUUGCCAGAAGCGAGGUAAUGAUGAAGAGGGAUAGUUGGGGGCAUUCGUAUUUAACUGUCAGAGGCGAAAUUCUUGGAUUUGUUAAAGACGGACUACUGCGAAAGCAUCUGCCAUGGAUGUUUUCAUUGA
This 380-nucleotide ribosomal RNA is filed under the name uncultured eukaryote. Its description in RNAcentral is "partial 18S ribosomal RNA". It matches the Rfam family "Eukaryotic small subunit ribosomal RNA", at positions 592 to 976 of the family's 1831-position model. The record is from RNAcentral.